This 212-nucleotide ribosomal RNA is filed under the name uncultured fungus. RNAcentral's name for it is "partial small subunit ribosomal RNA". The stretch from base 29 to 212 matches the Rfam family "Eukaryotic small subunit ribosomal RNA", at positions 679 to 864 of the family's 1831-position model. Lineage: Eukaryota; Fungi. The record is from RNAcentral.
GGGAGGUUCGCUUUGUCAGCCUCGUGGCUUGGCAUUGUGGUCCUUCCAUCCUUCUGUUAACGUUUCUUGGUAUUCAGUUACUGGUUUCGGGCUCAGAUAUUUUACCUUGAGAAAAAUAGAGUGUUUCAGGCAGGCUUGCGCCGGAAUACAUUAGCAUGGAAUAACGGAAUAGGACGCUUGAUUCUAUUUUGUUGGUUUCUAGGAUCAACGUA